RNAcentral lists this ribosomal RNA (492 nucleotides) under uncultured bacterium. Its description in RNAcentral is "partial 16S ribosomal RNA". It matches the Rfam family "Bacterial small subunit ribosomal RNA", at positions 29 to 507 of the family's 1533-position model. The record is from RNAcentral.
AGUGAACGCUGGCGGUAGGCCUAACACAUGCAAGUCGAACGGCAGCACAGUAAGAGCUUGCUCUUACGGGUGGCGAGUGGCGGACGGUUGAGGAAUACAUCGGAAUCUACUUUUUCGUGGGGGAUAACGUAGGGAAACUUACGCUAAUACCGCAUACGACCUACGGGUGAAAGCAGGGGAUCUUCGGACCUUGCGCGAUUGAAUGAGCCGAUGUCGGAUUAGCUAGUUGGCGGGGUAAAGGCCCACCAAGGCGACGAUCCGUAGCUGGUCUGAGAGGAUGAACAGCCAGACUGGAACUGAGACACGGUCGAGACUCCUACGGGAGGACGCAGUGGGGAAUAUUGGACAAUGGGGGAAAGCCUGAUCCAGCCAUACCGCGUGGGUGAAGAAGGCCUUAGGGUUGUAAAGCCAUGUUGUUGGGAAAGAAAAGCAGCAGGUUAAUACCCCGAUGUUCUGACGGUACCCAAAGAAUAAGCACCGGCUAACUUCGUG